UGCAGAAGCCACAGCACAGCCAA
Molecule: non-coding RNA, 23 nt
Filed under: Rattus norvegicus (Norway rat)
Lineage: Eukaryota; Metazoa; Chordata; Mammalia; Rodentia; Muridae
Source: RNAcentral